UACGUAGGGGGCAAGCGUUAUCCGGAUUUACUGGGUGUAAAGGGCGUGUAGCCGGGCCGGCAAGUCAGAAGUGAAAGCCCGGGGCUCAACUCCGGGACUGCUUUUGAAACUGUACAGCUUGAUUGCAGGAGAGGCAAGUGGAAUUCCUAGUGUAGCGGUGAAAUGCGUAGAUAUUAGGAGGAACACCAGUGGCGAAGGCGGCUUACUGGACGGUAACUGACGCUGAGGCUCGAAAGCGUGGGGAGCAAACAGG
This 253-nucleotide ribosomal RNA is filed under the name uncultured Eubacteriales bacterium. RNAcentral's name for it is "uncultured Clostridiales bacterium partial 16S ribosomal RNA". It matches the Rfam family "Bacterial small subunit ribosomal RNA", at positions 524 to 776 of the family's 1533-position model. The record is from RNAcentral. Lineage: Bacteria; Bacillati; Bacillota; Clostridia; Eubacteriales.